This 460-nucleotide ribosomal RNA is filed under the name uncultured bacterium. Its description in RNAcentral is "bacterial SSU rRNA". It matches the Rfam family "Bacterial small subunit ribosomal RNA", at positions 406 to 871 of the family's 1533-position model. The record is from RNAcentral.
GGAGGAAUGCCSUCCUUUGGUUUACAACCUUCUCCAGGGACGAAGGCCGUURGGGUGACGGUACCUGUAUAAGAAGCACCGGCUAACUACGUGCCAGCAGCCGCGGUAAUACGUAGGGUGCGAGCGUUGUCCGGAAUUACUGGGCGUAAAGAGCUCGUAGGUGGUUUGUCGCGUCGUCUGGGAAAUUCCGGGGCUUAACCUCGGGCGUGCAGGCGAUACGGGCAAUACUUGAGUGCUGUAGGGGAGACUGGAAUUCCUGGUGUAGCGGUGAAAUGCGCAGAUAUCAGGAGGAACACCGAUGGCGAAGGCAGGUCUCUGGGCAGUAACUGACGCUGAGGAGCGAAAGCAUGGGUAGCGAACAGGAUUAGAUACCCUGGUAGUCCAUGCCGUAAACGGUGGGCGCUAGGUGUAGGGGUCUUCCACGACUUUCUGUGCCGUAGCUAACGCAUUAAGCGCCCCC